GAUGAACGCUGGCGGCGUGCCUAAUACAUGCAAGUCGAGCGAACAGAUGAGGAGCUUGCUCCUCUGACGUUAGCGGCGGACGGGUGAGUAACACGUGGAUAACCUACCUAUAAGACUGGAUAACUUCGGGAAACCGGAGCUAAUACCGGAUAAUAUAUUGAACCGCAUGGUUCAAUAGUGAAAGACGGUUUUGCUGUCACUUAUAGAUGGAUCCGCGCCGCAUUAGCUAGUUGGUAAGGUAACGGCUUACCAAGGCAACGAUGCGUAGCCGACCUGAGAGGGUGAUCGGCCACACUGGAACUGAGACACGGUCCAGACUCCUACGGGAGGCAGCAGUAGGGAAUCUUCCGCAAUGGGCGAAAGCCUGACGGAGCAACGCCGCGUGAGUGAUGAAGGUCUUCGGAUCGUAAAACUCUGUUAUUAGGGAAGAACAAAUGUGUAAGUAACUAUGCACGUCUUGACGGUACCUAAUCAGAAAGCCACGGCUAACUACGUG
RNAcentral lists this ribosomal RNA (496 nucleotides) under uncultured bacterium. RNAcentral describes it as "partial 16S ribosomal RNA". It matches the Rfam family "Bacterial small subunit ribosomal RNA", at positions 28 to 507 of the family's 1533-position model. The record is from RNAcentral.